This 350-nucleotide long non-coding RNA is filed under the name Heterocephalus glaber (naked mole-rat). RNAcentral's name for it is "lncRNA (ENSHGLG00100043516.1)". Lineage: Eukaryota; Metazoa; Chordata; Mammalia; Rodentia; Bathyergidae. The record is from RNAcentral.
AAGGAAGUGAGAAAAUGAAUAAUGCAAACAUUUGGGGAAAGAGCACUCUAGGCAGAGGAGGCAACUGCAAAGGCCACUGUUGUGGGUAUAAUUGUGUUCUCCUGAAAGAAGACACAGAAACAGAGACACAUGGGAGAAUGCCAUGUGAUGACAGAGGAGAGACUGAAAUGGUACAGCCACAAGCUCAGGAAUGCCAAGAAUUGAGAGCCACCACCAGAAGCUAGGAAGAGUUCAGGACAUCAAGGCAGCCAUGACAGAAUUAAAGACACUCACAAAUGAGGACUUCCAGAACUGCUUCAGAAAGUGGCAAGAAAAAGCAAAGGCUUUCAGCUCCCCUCCUCCAACCUGAG